Molecule: small nucleolar RNA, 67 nt
Organism: Eriocheir sinensis (Chinese mitten crab)
Lineage: Eukaryota; Metazoa; Arthropoda; Malacostraca; Decapoda; Varunidae
Source: RefSeq, a predicted model, not a curated record
CACUACAAAUGAUGAUUCACUACCGCCCCAGGCUGAUGUUGUGAGUGAUUGGUUGAUCUGAGAGGCU